ACGAAGGGACCUAGCGUAGUUCGGAAUUACUGGGCUUAAAGAGCUCGUAGGUGGUUAAAAAAGUUGAUGGUGAAAUCCCAAGGCUCAACCUUGGAACUGCCAUCAAAACUUUUUAGCUAGAGUGUGAUAGAGGUAAGUGGAAUUUCUAGUGUAGAGGUGAAAUUCGUAGAUAUUAGAAAGAACACCAAAUGCGAAGGCAACUUACUGGGUCACUACUGACACUGAGGAGCGAAAGCAUGGGUAGCGAAGAGG
Molecule: ribosomal RNA, 252 nt
Filed under: uncultured bacterium
Lineage: Bacteria
Description: partial 16S ribosomal RNA
Rfam family: Bacterial small subunit ribosomal RNA
Source: RNAcentral